Molecule: long non-coding RNA, 5885 nt
Organism: Amphiprion ocellaris (clown anemonefish)
Lineage: Eukaryota; Metazoa; Chordata; Actinopteri; Pomacentridae
Exons: 2
Source: RefSeq, a predicted model, not a curated record
AUAUAUAUAUAUAUAUAUAUAUAUAUUAAAUCUAAUGGUAGAUAGAGAAGGGCUCAGUGCAUCCAGAGAGGUCCUCCAGCAGCCUAGGCCUGUAGCAGCAGAACUAGGGGCAGAACUAAGGGACGUCCAAGAGGAAGACUCCAGCUGACCCCCUCAGGGUCCCCCAGUCAGUCCUAACUAUAAGAUUUGUGAAAAAGGAAGGUUUUAAGCCUGGUCUUAAAAUUAGAGAGGGUGUCCGCCUCCAGAACCCAAACUGGGAGCUGGUUCCACAGGAGAGGUGCCUGAUAACUGAAGGCUCUGCCUCACAUUCUACUUUUAGAGAUUCUAGGAACAACAAGUAAGCCUGCAGUCUGAGAGCGAAGAGUUCUGCUAGGAUAAUAUGGUACUAUCAGGUCUUUAAGAUAUGAUGGAGAUUGGUUGUUAAGAGCUUUAUAUGUCAGAAGAAGGAUUUUGAAUUCUAUUCUACAUUUCACAGGAAGCCAGUGAAGAGAAACCAGCAUAGGAGAAAUCCUGAUUUUUACAAUAUUUCUCAGGUGGAAAAAGGAAGUCCUACAGAUUUGUUUUAUGUGUGAGUUAAAGGACAUGUCCUGGUCAAAGAUAACACCGAGGUUCCUCACAGUAGUACUGGAGGCCAAUGUAAUGCCAUCCAGAGUAACUAUAUCAAUCCGUCCAGCCAGUAGUAGAUGGGUCCCCCCACAUUAGAGCCGGGUUCUGCUCGAGGUUUUUUUCCCUGUUAAAAGGGUGUUUUCCUGCCACUGUCUCCUUAGGGCUGCUCUGGGGGUUCAGGCAUAUGGGUUCUGUAAAGUGUCUCGAGACAAUUUGACUGUAAUUGGCGCUAUAUAAAUAAAAUUGAAUUGAAUUGAAUUGAAUUAUAUGGUUUGAAAGCAAUUUUCUAAGAUGUUUGGGGCCAAAUACAAUGACUUCAGUCUGGUCUGAAUUUAGUAGUAAGAAAUUAUAGGUCAUCCAGGUCUUUAUGUCCUUAAGACAAUCUUGCAGUCUGGCUAGCUGAUUAGUUUCAUCUGGCUUCAUAGAUAAAUACAAUUGAGUGUUGUCAGCGUAACAGUGGAAAUUAAUACAGUGCUUCCUAAUAAUAUUGCCUAAGGGAAGCAUGUAUAAUGUGAACAGUAUUGGUCCUAAGACAGAGCCCUGAGGAACUCCAUGAUUAACCCUAGUAUGCUCAGAAGAGUCAUUGUUGACAUGCACAAACUGGAACCUGUCUGAUAAGUAGGAUUUAAACCAGUCCAGUGCUGUCCCUUUAAUGCCAAUAGAAUGUUCUAGUCGCUGUAAUAAAAGUUUGUGGUCGAUUGUAUCGAAUGCUGCACUAAGGUCCAAUAAAAUAAGUAUAGAGACCAGUCCAUUAUCUGACACUAUGAGAAGGUCAUUAGUAACUUUCACCAGAGCGGUUUCUGUGCUAUGAUGCACUCUGAAGCCUGACUGAAACUCUUCAAACAGGCUAUUCCUUUGUAAAUGUUCACAUCAUUGAUUUGCAACUGUUCUUUCCAGAAGUUUAGAGAGAAAUGGGAGGUUAGAAAUUGGUCUGUAGUUGGCUAAAACAUCUGGAUCUCGAGUGGGCUUUUUAAGUAAAGGUUUGAUUACAGCAACCUUAAAAGCCUGUGGUACAUAACCUGUUACUAGAGAGAGAUUAAUCAGAUCUAACAUUGAGGAAUUAAAGGUAAAGCCUCCUUGAACAGUCUAGUUGGGAUAGGAUCUAAAAGACAUGUUGAUGGUUUGGAUGUAGAAACUAUUGAAAUGAGUUCAGAGAGAUGUAUGGGAGUGAAAAAUUCUAAAUAUCCAUCUGGUCUUACAGCCAAUUCUAAAGUAUCUGUACUCGAUGAUACAUCUCUGACAUUUGUAGGAAGGGCCAGAUUAAUUUUUUCUCUAAUCGUAAUAAUUUUAUUUGUUAAGAAGCUCAUGAAGUCGUUACUGCUCAAAGCUAAAGGAAUACAAGGUUCAACAGAGCUCUGACUCUUUGUCAGCCUGGCUACAGUGCUGAAGAGAAACCUGGGGUUGUUCUUGUUUUCCUCUAUUAAAGAUGAAUAAUAUGUUGUCCUGGCAUUACCAAGAGGUUUUUUAUAAAUUACUAGACUAUUUUUCCAAGCUACAUAAACUUCCUCUAAAUUAGUGGAGUAUCACUUCCUUUCCAGCUUUCGGGACGCCUGGUUUAAAGUCCGCAGCUGGGAAUUAUACCAAGGAGCAGGUCCUCUCUGAGAUAGAACUUUCUUUUUUACAGGUGCAACACUAUCAAGUGUUGUACGCAGUGAGGCUGCAGCAUUAUUAACAAUAUAAUCCACUUCUGUGGGGGUAAAAUUAUAAUAUUUCCCUUCCAUUAUAUCAGUAAGUGGUGCUGGACUAAAUAGAGAGGGUAUUAUUUCCUUAAAUUUAGUCACCGAAUUGUGAGACAGACAUCUACUGUAAUGAUAUUUAUUCUUAACUCCUAUACAAUCUAUUGUUGUAAAUUGAAAUGUUAUCAUAAAAUGGUCAGAAAGAAGAGGGUUCCAGGGAAAUACUGUUAACUGUUUGAUUUCUAUGCCAUAAGUCAGAACGAGGUCAAGGGUAUGAUUAAAACUAUGAGUUGGUUUAUUUACAUGCUGAGAAAACCCAAUUGAGUCUAAUAUUGAAUUAAAAGCAGUCGUAAGGCUGUCACUGUCCACGUCAACAUGAAUGUUGAAGUCACCCACAAUAAUGACUUUAUCUGAGCUGAGCACUAAAUCAGAUAAAAAGUCUGAGAAUUGAGAUAAAAACUCAGAGUAAGGAGCAGGAGGACGAUAUACAACAACAAAUAAAACUGGUUUCUGAGCUUUUAAAUCUGGAUGAGAGAGACUGAGAGUAAGAUUUUCAAAUGAACUGUAACUAGGUUUAGGUCUCUGGUUCAUUUUUAAGCUAGAGAGGUAAAUUGCUGCCACUCCUCCUCCUCGGCCUGUGAUUCGAGGAACAUGAAAGUUAGUAUGAAUAGUAGGAGUUGAUUCAUUUAGACUAACAUAUAAAUAAAUGUGCAUAAUGUGGAAAUGAACAGAUUCUAUUUUUAUUUAUUCCUCCAGCUGCUGCACAGAAAAUUCCAGAAUGUGGAGGAAUUUAGUCUCACAAUCACAGACAAUAAAUAUUAUCGGAAAGUCGGGUUAUUGUUGUUUAUCAGCACAAUACAAAAAGAUUCAUGUUAGAAAUAUUCCAGUUAAGACUCUAGAAUAUCAGGAUUUAUGUAAAUUUAUCUCAAUAAUAUGAAUGUUCAGGUUAAGAUUGUGCAGUGAUAUUUAUUCUGUAAGUUUAGCUGAUUAAAGUUUAUGACUCUGCACUACAAUAUUAUUUAAAUUUACAUCAUUAUUAUAAUAUUUAGGGUCAGACCCUACAGUAUUGAGAUUAAGAAAUCAAAUAUUCUAUAAAAUGUAAAUACACUGAACUCAUUUGGAGAUAUUUAAGUGAGACUCUACAAUAUUAUGACACAAAUCUAUCUAAAUCAAAAUUUUAAUCAUUUUACUACAAACAUUUACUGGACUAAACAAACUUUAACAAAAGGUGCCUGAGAGUUUACAGGUUUUUAUGUUGGAUUUCUUCAGUAAUUUAAUGAGAGUUAUCAGCAAAAAUCAAGUGUUCAUUUGAUGAACUUCAUUUCCUAAAAACAACCAGAAUUGGAGCUCAUAUCUUUGGCAGCUGUAAAGUUUCUGCUCCUUCAAAGUUCACAACACAAUGAAUGAAUUCCUAAAAUACUCUCAAUGCUGGAGAGCGUUUGAUGCUGAAGCAGUGAUCAGUUUUUCUGUUUCUUCUCUGGAGAUGCACAAUGAGGGACGUCUGCAGAGACUGAGAAAGAGUCUCACCACAUCCUGACAUGAGGAAAAAGACUUUAUUGAAGACUACAAUGAGAAAAACUAUCAGACAGCAGACGGCUGCAUUCAAGGUGAGCUCUGAACAUUUGAUCUGGAACAGGAAUUCAAUAACGGCAGCAUGAGCUUCAUUUCAGUCUGUAGCUGCUGAAUUCAUGGAUGAAUCAUCUGGCACUAGAGAGGAAGACCAUCAAACAUCCACAUCAGCUGAUGGAGGUCCAAGAGUCUCACCCAACAAACAACCUACAGAGUGAAGACCUCCAAUCUGAUUGGACGGCCUCCUAUUCAGCCACAUUUUAGGCUGUUAGAUUGUUCCAGAUAAGACAAGUACAAGAUUCUUCAGAGCCGUUCUACCACGAGCCUGACAGGAAGAACUCCAACAGCUACUGAAUGUUCCUGUGGUUCCCUCAAGGCUACAGGAGGAGCCCUACGAGGACGAGCCGGUCCACCUGAUGGAGGCCAGUCGCUGCGGUUCAAAGCCAACACCGACUACGUGGACUUCUACUGGACCACAUGGAGGCCUUCAAACCGGACCAACAAGUUCAGCGACUCCCCGACUCGUGGGUCUGAGGACGCCGCCGAGCCUCGGUCCAGCCGGCCUCCUGUCUGUGGGUGUUUGAGUGCUGAGAGGUUUGUGGAUGCAUGUGAACGUUCUGUGUUGAAACAGCAGCUUUGGACUCAGUAACGCCGGGAAAAACCAAGAGCUCCUUUAUUUGUGACUUCCACUAAAAAAACUGAUGAAAAUAAGUUUGCCAGGGUUCUGACUGAUAACAGGUUAUUAAAUAAUGAAAAUAAUCGUUUAAAUAUUCCUUUAAACAAUCCUUUUAGGUCUACAUUUUCUUUACACUGACCUCAAGUAUUUUGGGUGGAAUGUACCAUUAAGCCCAGUGUUCAAGGGUUCUUCUGGGAAUAUACCAUUAAACCAACCUUUUAGGUAAAUGUUCCAGGAUGUUGGGUAGAAUAUACCAUCAGAUAAACCUUUUAGGUCUACAUUGGAAGAUUUUAGAGUAGAAUAUUACUCCAAACCAUCCUUUAGGUCUACAUUUAAGGUGGAAUACUCCUUUACACCAAGAUUUUUUGGUCUACAUUGAAGGAUUUUAGGUGGAAUAUUCCUUUGAACGAACUUUUGAAGUUUAUGUUCAAGGAUGUUGAGUGGAAUAUACCAUCAGACCAACCUCCAAGGUCUACAGUAGUGAAUUUUAGGUGGAAUAUACCAUUAAACUCACCUUUUAGGUCUACAUUGGAGGAUUUUAGGUGGAAUUUUCUUCCAAACCGUCUUUUAGUCUACAUUUAAGGAUGUUUAGGAUGGUAUAUUCUUCCAAACCAACUUCUCAGGUCUACAUUUCAGGUGGAAUAUUCCUCCAUACUAACUUUUUUGGUCUACAUUGAAAGAAUUUUUCGAAACCACCCUUUGGGGUCUAUAUUUGAGGUUUUAGGUGGAAUAUUCCUUUUAACCAGCCCCUCAGGUCUCUUUGAGGAUUUUGGAUGGAAUACUCAGUUAAACCAACAUUUUAGGUGCAUGUCCAAGGAUUUUUGGUGGAAUGUUCCUUUAAGGUGGAUGUUUGAGGACCUUGUAGGUGGAAUACUUCCUGAAACCAACCUUUUAGGUCAACAUUCAAAGAUUUAAGGUGGAAUAUUCCUUUAAACCAGGCUACAUUUCAUGUUUUGAUCAUUAUCAAGUGAGAAACCUCAAUCCAGACUCGUCAUAAUGAUGUUUGAGAUUUAUGCUGCUGUUAUUUGUUUAGUCCAGACUAAAUGACAGAAAUCCACAACUGUAAUUUUAUUUCAGGACUCGGUUAUUAAAUGUCAAAACAAUCCAUGUGACUCUAAAAACUCAACAGCUUUACAAACUCUAAGAUUAAACUCUCCACAAGGAUCCAAAAUAAGUUGGACUUCUACAUGAGAGCUUUAAUUAUUCUUCAUCUACUUCCUGAAAAGUUUGGUCAAUAAAAAAGACAAAAACUAAUAUUUUCAGCUGAACUAAAGACAGACUUUGUGAUUUUUCUGCUCACAUGUUGUGUUGUUGUAAACUUCCUCUUUCAAAUAAAUAUCCUCCUAACCCCCUGGAAA